Molecule: ribosomal RNA, 786 nt
Filed under: uncultured Bacteroidota bacterium
Lineage: Bacteria; Pseudomonadati; Bacteroidota
Description: bacterial SSU rRNA
Rfam family: Bacterial small subunit ribosomal RNA
Source: RNAcentral
AAGGCCCCUUCGGGGGCCGAGUAGAGUGGCGCACGGGUGAGUAACACGUAGGUAAUCUACCUCUGGGUGGGGAAUAACGACCGGAAACGGUCGCUAAUACCGCAUAAUGCAGCGGCACCACAUGGUGACAGUUGUUAAAGCGGGGGAUCGUAAGACCUCGCGCCUAGAGAUGAGCCUGCGGCGGAUUAGCUAGUUGGCAGGGUAACGGCCUACCAAGGCGACGAUCCGUAGCCGGCCUGAGAGGGCGGACGGCCACACUGGCACUGACAUACGGGCCAGACUCCUACGGGAGGCAGCAGUCGGGAAUUUUGGGCAAUGGGCGAAAGCCUGACCCAGCAACGCCGCGUGAAGGAUGAAGCUUUUCGGAGUGUAAACUUCAUAAGAAUGGGACGAAUAAGGAGGGGUUAACACCCCCUUUGAUGACGGUACCAUUUGUAAGCUCCGGCUAACUCCGUGCCAGCAGCCGCGGUAAUACGGGGGGAGCAAGCGUUGUUCGGAUUUACUGGGCGUAAAGGGCGCGUAGGCGGCGCAACAAGUCACUUGUGAAAUCUCCGGGCUUAACCCGGAGCGGCCAAGUGAUACUGUCGUGCUAGAGUGCGGAAGGGGCUACUGGAAUUCUCGGUGUAGCGGUGAAAUGCGUAGAUAUCGAGAGGAACACCUGCGGCGAAGGCGGGUAGCUGGGCCGACACUGACGCUGAGGCGCGAAAGCCAGGGGAGCGAACGGGAUUAGAUACCCCGGUAGUCCUGGCCUUAAACGAUGGAUGCUUGGUGUCCGGGGUUACAUAG